UACGGGGGGGGCAAGCGUUGUUCGGAAUUACUGGGCGUAAAGGGCUCGUAGGCGGCCAACUAAGUCGGAUGUGAAAUCCCCAGGCUUAACCUGGGAAUUGCAUCCGAUACUGGAUGGCUUGAAUCCGGGAGAGGGAUGCGGAAUUCCAGGUGUAGCGGUGAAAUGCGUAGAUAUCUGGAGGAACACCGGUGGCGAAGGCGGCAUCCUGGACCGAUACUGACACUGAGGAGCGAAAGCCAGGGGAGCAAACGGG
Molecule: ribosomal RNA, 253 nt
Filed under: uncultured bacterium
Lineage: Bacteria
Description: partial 16S ribosomal RNA
Rfam family: Bacterial small subunit ribosomal RNA
Source: RNAcentral